Molecule: ribosomal RNA, 789 nt
Filed under: Periconia chengduensis
Lineage: Eukaryota; Fungi; Ascomycota; Dothideomycetes; Pleosporales; Periconiaceae
Description: partial large subunit ribosomal RNA
Rfam family: Eukaryotic large subunit ribosomal RNA
Source: RNAcentral
UCAAAUUUGAAAUCUGGCCCCCUCGGGGUCCGAGUUGUAAUUUGCAGAGGGUGCUUUGGCGUUGGCAGCGGUCUAAGUUCCUUGGAACAGGACAUCGCAGAGGGUGAGAAUCCCGUAUGUGGUCGCAUGCCUCCGCCGUGUAAAGCCCCUUCGACGAGUCGAGUUGUUUGGGAAUGCAGCUCUAAAUGGGAGGUAAAUUUCUUCUAAAGCUAAAUACCGGCCAGAGACCGAUAGCGCACAAGUAGAGUGAUCGAAAGAUGAAAAGCACUUUGGAAAGAGAGUCAAACAGCACGUGAAAUUGUUAAAAGGGAAGCGCUUGCAGCCAGACUUGCCUGUAGUUGCUCACCCGGGCUCCUGCCCGGGGCACUCUUCUGCAGGCAGGCCAGCAUCAGUUUGGGCGGUCGGACAAAGGCCUCUGACACGUACUUCCUUUCGGGGAUGACAUAUAGGGGAGGCGCAAUGCGACCAGCCCGGACUGAGGUCCGCGCAUCUGCUAGGAUGCUGGCGUAAUGGCUGUAAGCGGCCCGUCUUGAAACACGGACCAAGGAGUCUAACAUCUAUGCGAGUGUUUGGGUGUCAAGCCCGAGCGCGUAAUGAAAGUGAACGGAGGUGGGAACCCCUCGGGGCGCACCAUCGACCGAUCCUGAUGUCUUCGGAUGGAUUUGAGUAAGAGCAUAGCUGUUGGGACCCGAAAGAUGGUGAACUAUGCUUGAAUAGGGUGAAGCCAGAGGAAACUCUGGUGGAGGCUCGCAGCGGUUCUGACGUGCAAAUCGAUCGUCAAAUUUGGGC